GGAGGCGAAAGAGCACCUGGUGGGCUCCGCGGUCUUCAAAACCGUUGGGGCGGCCGAGGGCCGCCCGGCGGGUUCGAUUCCCGUCCGCCUCCGCCA
RNAcentral lists this transfer RNA (96 nucleotides) under Acidimicrobiia bacterium. RNAcentral describes it as "tRNA-Sec". It matches the Rfam family "Selenocysteine transfer RNA". Lineage: Bacteria; Bacillati; Actinomycetota; Acidimicrobiia. The record is from RNAcentral.